AUAUAUAUAAAAGGUUGGUUAAGAUACGUAAGUUCUUUUUUCAGUUGAUACAUUUUAAUAAAGUGUAUUGGGUUUUAGCAAACAAAAAUACUUUCAUAUAUUACGAAUUCUAAGUUUUAAAGUCAAGGGUAUUUGAAUAAUUUCCAUUCUCAAAACUAGAAAACAAAUGAGAAAUCCUCAAACCCUUACUCACUUCUCUCUCUUAUCUCUCAUCUCUCUCCAUCAUUUUUCUUUCAUCUCUCUCAUUCUAACAUUAUCUCUGUUAUCCCUAGAGUAGUCCUAACUGAAAAAAUCAGAAACACUCACCUAACCUUAAUCCAGCUUUCUCAUUUAUCCAAUUUGUUUCUCUCUUAUCUCUAUCCUCUCUCACAUCCACACACGGCAACCCGCGACACCGCAAUUUGUUACUCUUUCUUUGUUCGUUCAUUUGUUUGUCACUUUAAUAAAAAAAUAAUUGAGGUUUAAUCAUUUCGGGCAUCCCUAUUUUUGCAGGAUCGUAUCAAAUAGGUCCUCGUAUUG
Molecule: long non-coding RNA, 519 nt
Filed under: Vigna radiata
Lineage: Eukaryota; Viridiplantae; Streptophyta; Magnoliopsida; Fabales; Fabaceae
Description: long non-coding RNA (VRAD_LNC008881)
Source: RNAcentral